CCUACGGGCGGCAGCAGUGAGGAAUAUUGGUCAAUGGGCGUAAGCCUGAACCAGCCAAGUAGCGUGAGGGAAGAAGGCUCUAUGGAUCGUAAACCUCUUUUAUAAGGGAGUAAAGUACGGGACGUGUCCUGUUUUGUAUGUACCCGAUGAAUAAGGAUCGGCUAACUCCGUGCCAGCAGCCGCGGUAAUACGGAGGAUCCGAGCGUUAUCCGGAUUUAUUGGGUUUAAAGGGUGCGUAGGCGGACUUUGAAGUCAGCGGUGAAAUUCUGUGGCUCAACCAUAGAAGUGCCGUUGAAACUGGUAUUCUUGAGUAUGUUUGAGGUAGGCGGAAUGCGUGGUGUAGCGGUGAAAUGCUUAGAUAUCACGCAGAACCCCGAUUGCGAAGGCAGCCUACCAGGCCUUAACUGACGCUGAUGCACGAAAGUGUGGGGAUCAAACAGGAUUAGAUACCCUUGUAGUC
Molecule: ribosomal RNA, 460 nt
Filed under: uncultured bacterium
Lineage: Bacteria
Description: partial 16S ribosomal RNA
Rfam family: Bacterial small subunit ribosomal RNA
Source: RNAcentral